AUUUAGCCCCGAUUGUAGUGGAAAUCCUGUCAUUGCGUUUCUAAUUUUUGAUGAGAUUGCCUCGUUCCUCGCAAUGACAGAUUGAAACGAAAAGCGGGAAAAUGG
This 105-nucleotide small RNA is filed under the name Flavobacterium dankookense. RNAcentral's name for it is "Flavobacterium sp. ARSA-19 Flavo-1 RNA". It matches the Rfam family "Flavo-1 RNA". Lineage: Bacteria; Pseudomonadati; Bacteroidota; Flavobacteriia; Flavobacteriales; Flavobacteriaceae. The record is from Rfam by way of RNAcentral.